GACGAACCGUGCGAACGUUAUUCGGAAUCACUGGGCUUAAAGCGCGUGUAGGCGGGUCGGCACGUCGGUCGCUGAAAUCCCCCGGCUCAACCGGGGAAGGGGCGCCGAUACGGCCGGCCUCGAGGGACGUAGGGGGGGCUGGAACUUCCGGUGGAGCGGUGAAAUGCGUUGAGAUCGGAAGGAACGCCCGUGGCGAAAGCGAGCCCCUGGACGUCUACUGACGCUGAGACGCGAAAGCCAGGGGAGCGAACGGG
This 254-nucleotide ribosomal RNA is filed under the name uncultured bacterium. RNAcentral describes it as "partial 16S ribosomal RNA". It matches the Rfam family "Bacterial small subunit ribosomal RNA", at positions 524 to 776 of the family's 1533-position model. The record is from RNAcentral.